UCCCCUUUUCAAACAUGUUUGAUAGGUAUCCCGUCUCCUAUUUCCGAAGGUGAUUUUAAGGGAUAUGUUUCUGAUACAAAUUGCUCCACUGUGGGAACUGACCGGUUAGUCUCGUCAGCCAGCAUUACCGGUGGCCCUGACAACAGCACCACCCUCACUUAUCGAAAAGUUUCAUGCUUGCUGUCAAAGCUGAAUGUCUCUAUGUGGGAUGAGCCACCGGAACUACAGCUGCUAGGUUCCCAGUCUCUCCCUAACGUUACUAACAUUACUCAGGUCUCUGGCGUGGCCGGGGGAUGUGUAUAUUUCGCCCCAAGGGCCACUGGCCUGUUUUUAGGUUGGUCUAAACAAGGUCUCUCGCGGUUCCUCCUCCGUCACCCCUUUACCUCCACCUCUAACUCCACGGAACCGUUCACGGUGGUGACAGCGGAUAGACACAAUCUUUUUAUGGGGAGUGAGUACUGUGGUGCAUAUGGCUACAGAUUUUGGGAAAUAUAUAACUGCUCACAGACUAGGAAUACUUACCGCUGUGGAGACGUGGGAGGUACUGGCCUCCCUGAAACCUGGUGCAGAGGAAAAGGAGGUAUAUGGGUUAAUCAAUCAAAGGAAAUUAAUGAGACAGAGCCGUUCAGCUUUACUGCGAACUGUACAGCUAGUAAUUUGGGUAAUGUCAGCGGAUGUUGUGGAAAAACGACCACGAUUCUCCCAUCAGGGGCGUGGAUCGACAGCACACAAGGUAGUUUCACUAAACCAAAAGCGCUACCACCCGCAAUUUUCCUCAUUUGUGGGGAUCGCGCAUGGCAAGGAAUUCCCAGUCGUCCGGUAGGGGGCCCCUGCUAUUUAGGCAAGCUUACCAUGUUAGCACCCAACCAUACAGAUAUUCUCAAAAUACUUGCUAAUUCGUCGCGGACAGGUAUAAGACGUAAACGAAGCGUCUCACACCUGGAUGAUACAUGCUCAGAUGAAGUGCAGCUUUGGGGUCCUACAGCAAGAAUCUUUGCAUCUAUCUUAGCCCCGGGGGUAGCAGCUGCGCAAGCCUUAAGAGAAAUUGAGAGACUAGCCUGUUGGUCCGUUAAACAGGCUAACUUGACAACAUCACUCCUCGGGGACUUAUUGGAUGAUGUCACGAGUAUUCGACACGCGGUCCUGCAGAACCGAGCGGCUAUUGACUUCUUGCUUCUAGCUCACGGCCAUGGCUGUGAGGACGUUGCCGGAAUGUGUUGUUUCAAUCUGAGUGAUCACAGUGAAUCUAUACAGAAGAAGUUCCAGCUAAUGAAGAAACAUGUCAAUAAGAUCGGCGUGGACAGCGACCCAAUCGGAAGUUGGCUGCGAGGGAUAUUCGGGGGAAUAGGGGAAUGGGCCGUUCAUCUGCUAAAAGGACUGCUUUUGGGGCUUGUAGUUAUUUUAUUGCUAGUAGUGUGCCUGCCCUGCCUUUUACAAUUUGUGUCUAGUAGUAUUCGAAAGAUGAUUAAUAGUUCAAUCAACUAUCAUACUGAAUACAGGAAGAUGCAGGGCGGAGCAGUC
RNAcentral lists this unclassified non-coding RNA (1521 nucleotides) under Avian sarcoma virus PR2257/16. RNAcentral's name for it is "env". Lineage: Riboviria; Pararnavirae; Artverviricota; Revtraviricetes; Ortervirales; Retroviridae. The record is from RNAcentral.